CCUGCGGGGAUGCCCAACCACCAGCUCAUCUCUGGCGCCCCGAGAGCUGACCUGAGCUGGGUGAGCCGGCGAGGCACCUUCUUGGGUGCAGAAUGUAUGGGAGCGCCCAAACUCCAGUAAUCCAGCAAUCACUUCGCCCUCCUUUCUGCAGUGAACCCACUCCCGAGAAGACCAAGGAGAGCCUGGCGGGCAGAUUUCUCCAGCAGCCGCUGCCCGAGGGAAGUGGCAGGGGGUCUGGAGGCAGCUGAUCGCGGACAAAAGACCCUGGUCCAGCCCUGAGGCUAGGCCUUCGGGAACCAGGACAAGGCAAACUCCUCUUCCCUGGUGGCCACCCCGGAGGGUCCACAAGGCUCCCCUUUCCACUGUUCCCAAGCGCCUCGGGUUCAGUCCGACGGGUCACUUUUCUUGUAUAUUUUCUCUUGCUUCCCCUCCUUCAUGGCUGCGUACCUGGCUAGCGUGAAGAGAUAGUCGCUGAGUCUGGAGGGACAGAGAGAAGCAGACGGAAUGAUCUGAAAGGGGCAAUCGAUGCUAACUGGGUCCUUCCCAUAUUAGCCUUCAAGAAGGAAAUCAGUCACGUGCCCCGGCAGCACCGGGUGGGACGAAGAGCAGCGGCCAACCUGGGCCUGACAGAUGGCACUGGGAGCCAGCAUCCGUGAGAGCCACGUGCCCGACUCUGGCGCCAGGGCUGGAGGGUUUCUAGGGGACAAGGCCGCUACCCCUGCCCAACCUCAGAGGCUGGUGACCUUGGGCCAGUCUCAACUGCUUUCUGCACCGUCCACUGACCAGGACUAGUACCUCUCAAACUAACAUGCACACGAGUCCUUAGGGAUCCUGACAACCUGCAGAUUCUCAUUUGGGGGAGCUGGCCAGGCCUGCGGUUCUGCAGUUCUAACCCACGCCACGUGACGCAGACACUGCUGGGCUGAGGACCUGCACAAAGUCAAGAACCCACACUUUCCAGGCCGUGCCAGGGCCGACCCCCCUCAUUCCUGGUUCCUUUCCAGUGCAAGAGCGCCCCCAAGGAGUCUCAGCUGUGCCCAUGAAUACAACAUUCCUUUCCCCUCAUAGGAGGAAACGAGUUGGUCAGAACCCAUCAAAGCCUGGGCCAUGUUCCUGUGGGAGGGGUGGGCCACAAUAAGGGGCCACUCCAGAUCCUGGCUAAGGCCAUUUUCUGGACACUCAGAACGGCUCCCAGGGGUCCCCAGCGCUUGGCCUGCCCCUGGGCCUGGCCUUGCCCCCACUAGAACUGCACGAGCCAAUGCUGAAGGAGAACCCAGUGGAGAAGGCCUUGGGCCAGCUGUGGCCCUGGGGGCGAGGCUGAGGGCGGGGCUACAGGGGACCUCCCUGGCCCAGCCAGCGAUUCGGGCCCUGUGCGGGGGCCCUAAGCCGGACGGUCCUGAGCUCGCUUUGCCUGGAGGUGUCCUCCGCUCACACUGCCCAGGGGCCUCACCAGGGGAAGACCGGCUGUGAGAAGGUCUCUAUCCUGCCUGGGCCCCACCAUGACGCCUGUCACCGUCUCCCUGGUUACCAGCCUCAAAGCAGGCCCCUUGUCACAGCACUGUCCAUUCGUUCCGAUGUUCUUCGCUGGUCGUUAUAGCAGCUUCUCCCACAAGACCUUCACCUCACUGGUGACAGGGUUGGUACCGCCUUGCUCUCUGCUGCAUCCCGUGCCCGGCUCAGUGCUGGGCACAGACGCCCUCACUGAAUGUGAAGUGAAUGAGUGAGGCCCGUUCCGUUGUUGCUACUUCCCAUCAUGUCGCGUUUGUCAGAGAUCUCCAGUUUCCAUGUAAGUACCUGUUUAAGAACUUGGCCACGUUUGCAUCCGUCUCACCCAUCCGGACAAGAGGCGCCACGCUGGAAAGGGAGGAGUCACUGCGUCACACGGGAUCAACGUCACAGGAUCAGCCACUGCAGGGCCCAGGGCUCCGUCCCCGCCAGCAGUCACGGCCACCGCAGCGUGACCUGGGGUCCUUGCCGGUCUACGUGGACAUUCUAGACAGUGGGCCGCUGUCUGCUGACCACCAACGACGGGCAGACCAGGAGGUCUGCUGUGGUGGCUGGACGACACGGAGGUGACCCCCCCGCCUGCCUCCGGCCCCCUCUGCCCGGGCCCUCACCGUCUCUCAGCCCGGCGGCACACGGCCCGACAGAAGUGCAGUGCAGCGCUGCUCUUGCCGCCCGACUGGAAGGAGAAAGCAGGCGUUGGGUGGAGGGAGGGGCGGGCGGGUGUGCCCAGUGCAGACAGCACGCUCCUCACACGGAGGGUGGGCCCUGCCCCAGCACGCAGUGUUCUGCAUGCAGAGGGCCCCGCCGGGGCACAGCCCUGGGCACCCCUUCAGAGAGGACAGGGCUGGGAGGGCAGGGGACGUGGAGGGCAGCUCUGUCACUGUAAAAUAUUAGAGAGGGGGACGUGGCCUGCAGCCACCCCAGGGGGAGGCUGCCCAGUACCUACAGGCAGAAUGAAAGCCGUGAGAGGGGGGAGCUGGCCGGAGUACUUGUCGAUCCACUGCUCCAGCUCCAGGACGCGCCCCGACUCAAAUGUGGUGCGUCCUGAGGAGCCAAGGAGUAGGACACGGCCAUGAGGAAACCGCGAGCAUCGAGGAAACCGCCCGGUGCCCUUCCGCCCGGUGCGUUCCAAACCACUCCCACGACCCUCUCAGGGUCUGCGGGCCAGGCUGACGGGGUCCCACGUGACACCCAGGAGAGUCCCCGCUCAGUCCAACCCCCGCAGGGCCCUCCCAGUACACACGCGGCUCAGAGAGCGAAUUACUUAAGUGAGCCUCCCGGGCGGAGGAGCGGGGUGUCGCCAGGGCGGAGCCAACGUCCUGCAGGGAGCACUGUAUCUGGGGAAGCAACAGAAGGUGCCAGUGAAGAUCUAUUGUGGCUCCUGGCUCCCCAUGCAAAGGUGCCACCUGACAGCAAGGCAUGCGGCUGGCCUGGUGGGGGUUGUCAGAGCUUUAAUCAGCAGCACUGAAAGGCUAAUUAGCAAACUGCCUGCACUUUCAGCGUGCUGGACGCCAGCCCCGUGGAGAGGAGACCUGGCUCACGUGGGGACAGCUGGGUUAGGAAGACAAUGAGCGUCGAGCGCCCAGUGACGGCCAAGAGGAAUCUCCUCGCCCCGAUCCUGGGUGGUUUAUCUCGGAGGCUGUCAUGUGCACUGCAGGCUGCAUGCGGCAUCCCAGGCCUCCACCCACUAGAUGCCAGGACCUCCGCCUCCAGUUGGGACAACCAACCAUGUCUCCAGACAUUGUCAAAUGUCCCCUGGGGGGCAGAGAGCACGGACAACCCUUCACAUUUCCUUCUCUUGGACCAAUCCUCACCACUUGCCUGGGAGGGAGGAUUAUCUGGGUGUCCCCAUUUUACAGAUGGAGAAACUGAGGCUCAGAGGAAGAGUGACAGUCCCAGGUGACACAGAGAGGAAGCGAUGAUCAAAUGCCAAAUGCAGUUACAGUCACCAGGCCUCAGGGGUAAACAAAAAAUGUUACUCACUUUCUCAAGCUCCUCAGCAAAUGGGUGGCCCUUUUCCGAAAUUAAUUCCAUAGCAAACCUAUGAGGGAAAAGGAAAAAGAAUCUGCCUCUAACAUAACAUCCCCAGGCCCUGCUUUGCUGUAAGACCAUGGUUCUCAGGUGACGGGCCAUUCAGCUAACUUGGCUAUAAUAGCCUUGGUGUUAUUUCUUGCUGGCAAUAAGAACCUCAUAACCUUCCA
Molecule: long non-coding RNA, 3707 nt
Organism: Myotis myotis
Lineage: Eukaryota; Metazoa; Chordata; Mammalia; Chiroptera; Vespertilionidae
Exons: 2
Source: RefSeq, a predicted model, not a curated record